RNAcentral lists this long non-coding RNA (246 nucleotides) under Setaria italica (foxtail millet). RNAcentral's name for it is "long non-coding RNA (SITA_LNC000439)". The record is from RNAcentral. Lineage: Eukaryota; Viridiplantae; Streptophyta; Magnoliopsida; Poales; Poaceae.
CUACCACCUUGAUUUACCCCGUGGUGCACCGCCGGACUGUUCCGCCCGCAAUCAGAUUUCUCCUUCGGCCGCAAUCGUACCGUCUUGUUUUUGCAAUAUAUAUAAACAACGUGCCGGUUCGUACCGUUUCUUAAUCGUGGUUGGGUACCCUUAUCACGAGUGGUUGGUGUUCCAUACUGUCCAUCAUGUCAACGUCAUGCUCAUCAAGUUUAUCAUUUGGAUAUGUUGACCCAUCUUGGAAUAAUC